RNAcentral lists this ribosomal RNA (498 nucleotides) under uncultured bacterium. RNAcentral's name for it is "partial 16S ribosomal RNA". It matches the Rfam family "Bacterial small subunit ribosomal RNA", at positions 29 to 507 of the family's 1533-position model. The record is from RNAcentral.
ACGAACGCUGGCGGCGUGCUUCACACAUGCAAGUCGAACGGGCCCGCCCCUGUUUUUGGGGGUGGGUUGAGUGGCGAACGGGUGAGUAUCACGUGAGUAACCUGCCCCCUGCUCCUGGAUAACUGCUUGAAAGGGCGGCUAAUACGGGGUGUGCCGGCUGGUCCGCAUGGGCCUGGUCGGGAUAGUUUCAUCUUCGGGUGUUUCGGUGGGGGAUGGGCUCGCGGCCUAUCAGCUUGUUGGUGGGGUGAUGGCCCACCAAGGCGGUGACGGGUAGCCGGCCUGAGAGGGUGGGCGGCCACACUGGGACUGAGACACGGCCCAGACUCCUGCGGGAGGCAGCAGUGGGGGGUAUUGCACAAUGGGCGGAAGCCUGAUGCAGCGACGUCGCGUGAGGGAUGGAGGCCUUCGGGUUGUGAACCUCUUUCUCCGGUGGUGAAGGCCCUGUCCGUUGCGGCGGGGUUGACGGUAGCCGGGGAUGAAGCGCCGGCUAACUACGUG